This is a non-coding RNA of Archocentrus centrarchus (flier cichlid), 73 nucleotides long. The record is from the annotation of a RefSeq genome assembly. Lineage: Eukaryota; Metazoa; Chordata; Actinopteri; Cichliformes; Cichlidae.
GGGGGCAUAGCUCAGUGGUAGAGCAGUUUGACUGCAGAUCAAUAGGUCUCUGGUUCAACUCCAGAUGCCCCCU